Long non-coding RNA from Vitis riparia (riverbank grape), 308 nucleotides. RefSeq lists it as uncharacterized. The record is from RefSeq and is a predicted model, not a curated record. The transcript is spliced from 2 exons. NCBI's taxonomy places the organism in Eukaryota, Viridiplantae, Streptophyta, Magnoliopsida, Vitales, Vitaceae.
UCCUGCACCAGAUUAUUGCACCCCAGAAAUGGUGCAACAGAUAUUAAUUUCAGCAUUAUCAGCAAUGGGGUUUCAAGGACCAGGUAACGGGGAAGCCGAUCGCAAAGGGACCUAAAGUGGGGCGCUUGUUUCCACUAUUUUUACCUGUUCCAGAUUUUUCUCCACUUUCUUCUAUUAAGUCUUUUGCUUGUAAUAAUGUUUCAGAUCUUAGUAUGGUGUGGCAUCGUCGUUUAGGCCAUCCCAAUACUCAAAUCUUAUCUCAUGUAUUGAACUCUGAUUUACCUGGUAAUAAGGAUCGUUAUUCUUUA